Molecule: ribosomal RNA, 121 nt
Organism: Chlorocebus sabaeus (green monkey)
Lineage: Eukaryota; Metazoa; Chordata; Mammalia; Primates; Cercopithecidae
Source: Ensembl
GUCUAUGGCCAUACCACCCUGAACGCACCUGAUCUUGUCUGAUUUCAGAAGCGAAGCAGGGUCGGGCCUGAUUAGUACUUGGAUGAUAGAAUUUAGCGCUCGAACACUAUUGCUGUCGAUA